AAUAUUGCGCAAUGGAGGGAACUCUGACGCAGCGACGCCGCGUGAGCGAUGAAGGUUUUCGGAUCGUAACGCUCUGUCCUUGGGGAAGAGGGUCUUCGGACUUGACGGUACCUAAGGAGGAAGCCCCGGCUAACUACGUGCAAGCAGCCGCGGUAAUACGUAGGUGGCAAGCGUUGUCCGGAAUUAUUGGGCGUAAAGCGCGCGCAGGCGGUCUUUUAAGUCUGAUGUGAAAGCCCCCGGCUCAACCGGGGAGGGUCAUUGGAAACUGGGAGACUUGAGUGCAGAAGAGAAGAGUGGAAUUCCACGUGUAGCGGUGAAAUGCGUAGAGAUGUGGAGGAACACCAGUGGCGAAGGCGACUCUUUGGUCUGUAACUGACGCUGAGGCGCGAAAGCGUGGGGAGCGAAC
RNAcentral lists this ribosomal RNA (406 nucleotides) under uncultured bacterium. RNAcentral describes it as "partial 16S ribosomal RNA". It matches the Rfam family "Bacterial small subunit ribosomal RNA", at positions 360 to 773 of the family's 1533-position model. The record is from RNAcentral.